CCUACGGGAGACAGCAGUGAGGAAUAUUGGUCAAUGGGCUUACGCCUGAACCAGCCAAGUCGCGUGAGGGAAGACUGCCCUAUGGGUUGUAAACCUCUUUUGUCAGGGAGCAACGCCGGCUACGUGUAGCCGGACUGAGAGUACCUGAAGAAAAAGCAUCGGCUAACUCCGUGCCAGCAGCCGCGGUAAUAGGGAGGAUGCGAGCGGUAUCCGGAUUUAUGGGGUUGAAAGGGUUGGUAGGGGGGAGGCCAAGUCAGCGGUAAAAUCGCGGGGCUCAACCGCGCUCCGCCGUUGAAACUGGCGUUCUUGAGUGGUCGAGAAGUAUGCGGAAUGCGUGGUGUAGCGGUGAAAUGCAUAGAUAUCACGCAGAACUCCGAUUGCGAAGGCAGCAUACCGGCGCCCAACUGACGCUGAAGCACGAAAGCGUGGGUAUCGAACAGGAUUAGAUACCCCUGUAGUC
Molecule: ribosomal RNA, 460 nt
Filed under: uncultured bacterium
Lineage: Bacteria
Description: partial 16S ribosomal RNA
Rfam family: Bacterial small subunit ribosomal RNA
Source: RNAcentral